RNAcentral lists this small nuclear RNA (218 nucleotides) under Xenopus laevis (African clawed frog). Lineage: Eukaryota; Metazoa; Chordata; Amphibia; Anura; Pipidae. The record is from RNAcentral.
GACAAAGGCCCCAAGAACCGCUACACCGUUUGAUCCCGUGACUCGUCGAUCCUGAGAGCUUCCACAGCAGGCCUGCCUACUCUUGGAUGCAAGAAGGUUUCUCCUGGAAUAGCUUAGCUUGUAGCGGGCUGAUGCUGUUUUCUGAAGGAUAUAUUAUGUGUGUUUGCUGUGAAUUGCUUGGAAGACAUAAUCUAACAUCGUUGCGUUUGUCGUCGUUG